This 123-nucleotide ribosomal RNA is filed under the name Acinetobacter baumannii. Its description in RNAcentral is "partial 16S ribosomal RNA". It matches the Rfam family "Bacterial small subunit ribosomal RNA", at positions 1412 to 1533 of the family's 1533-position model. The record is from RNAcentral. Lineage: Bacteria; Pseudomonadati; Pseudomonadota; Gammaproteobacteria; Moraxellales; Moraxellaceae.
UUGUUGCACCAGAAGUAGCUAGCCUAACUGCAAAGAGGGCGGUUACCACGGUGUGGCCGAUGACUGGGGUGAAGUCGUAACAAGGUAGCCGUAGGGGAACCUGCGGCUGGAUCACCUCCUUAA